Long non-coding RNA from Oreochromis niloticus (Nile tilapia), 906 nucleotides. RefSeq lists it as uncharacterized. NCBI's taxonomy places the organism in Eukaryota, Metazoa, Chordata, Actinopteri, Cichliformes, Cichlidae. The record is from RefSeq and is a predicted model, not a curated record. The transcript is spliced from 2 exons.
GAAGCAAGGGGAAACAGUAUAGUUCACUGUAAUAACCCCCCCAUGUUUGUAAAUCAUGUUAGAUUGGUCGGUACUGAAAUUCAAUUUUCACGCUUUAAGGCUGUUUGCUGAAGUCUAAGCUCAAUUUUUAGACACAGAGAGAAGAUGAAAAUCUAAAAACCCACAGAGAUCUCAUUGUGUUACUGGAGAAGAGAUUUAUUUGAAAGACAAAAAGAUAUGUUGACAUUAUUUCAAAAACAGUUUCCAUUUUUUUAACCCUCUGGCCUUCAUGGGUGGUAACUUCCAAGCCUAACGCUGCACUAGCCCUGGAUUUUUUUAAGCCUAGCCCAGCUGUCACAAGACCAGGACUAUUUCAAAACUGUAUAAACAACAGAAGAUAUCAGGACAACAGUUAUGACCUGACCUGAAGCUUGGGAGAGGAUGGCUAAAGGUGUAAGACACGAUCCAAAGCACAAAAGUAAACCCACAACAUAACAGUCGAACAGCUGUGGCAUAACCUGUAGAGAACCGUUCAGCCACAUGACAUCCCAGACACUCAUAAACUAAAGAGUCUGUAGGGCGGAACUGGUCCCCUGUUCUCCUGAACAGCUACAGGACACACCUGCUGGAGCUUUUCCUGAGGGGGGUCAGAGGGCCGAACAGUACUUACUAUCCUUCCAUCUCCGCUCCCUAUGUCCACCAGGGUUCCCGACCUUGCCCUUAACGCCUUGAGGACGUUUUCCACCUGAGUCGUGGUGGCCGGGACAAACGGGAGGCAGACUUUCCUCAGGGCAGGGGCCACGAACGGAGCAGCCACCGCGUACAGAGCAACCAGCGACCCUCCCACUACCCCUGUUACGACGAGCCCAAUGCGGCUCCUGCCCUUUCUGUCCCUGUUAUCCUCAUUAGGCUGUCCCGAGUCCAGCA